This is a long non-coding RNA of Cyprinus carpio carpio, 2244 nucleotides long. The record is from Ensembl. NCBI's taxonomy places the organism in Eukaryota, Metazoa, Chordata, Actinopteri, Cypriniformes, Cyprinidae.
AUGCUUUUUUUAUUUUUUUAUUUUUUUUUAGAUCACCUGAGACAUUACAGCGAGGAAAAUGUGAUCCAAAAUCCUCUCAAUCACCCCCUGCUUCAAAGGCUAAUCGCCAACGCUCUGCACUGUUUCCACACUAAACGGACAAGAAUGAAGCUUCAAAUUGUACUGCCUGUCGAGGUAUGCUAUUUUUUUUUCUGAAUGUUCAGGGGCUGGAUUUACAAAAAGCAUCUUAAGAAAUAAGUUAAGAAAGUUCUUAUAAUUUCUACUUUAAAAUUUGACACUUAAUUCAACGUGUUACUUCCUGUUUCUUUGUAAUUAAUUGUGGAAUUUACUAGAUUUGAGUCAAAAUUGUUUCCACACCAUUUUUUUUUUCAGUUUAACAUUAAAGAAUAAUUUUAUUCUUAAGAAUAUUUUGUGAAUCUAAUCCUAGACUUCUCAUUUGAAAGAUAAAAUCAUAAAAGAGACUACAAAUCUUUUAUAUUACAGACAGAGAAAUCCAUGCCAUAUGCGGAGACUGGAACAUCAAGACUUCAGUAUGGGCUUUCAGCAACCAUUUACAUGGGAACCACCCACAAUCCCUAGCAACCACAUAGCAACACUAGAACACCUUAGCAGCUGCAUAGCAAUGUCCUUGCAACCACCCAAAGUGCUUUUUUUUAAUGUAAAUUCCAUUUAGAAUUUUUUCUAAAAAUGAUAGUUUUGUUUUAAUAUUUUUGUCUUUAUUCACCUUAUUCUUCCCGUAAGAGUGGGUUUUGUAAUUUUAUAAUUGUAAUUGUAAUUUGCCAUUUGUAAUUUUAAUGGGUCUGGCUACCAAUCUCAUCCAUGUCUAGCUAUUUUUUAGCUUUUCAAAACAGCUGGUUUUGCUGCUUGAUAUUGCAAAUUGGUGUGUCUUACCUUAUUUUAAUGUAUUAUCCUUAUUAUGAACACACUGGUUUGUAGUGCAAACAAUUUUACCGUUUACUGCACGUUGUUAUUCUUCUCGUUAUUCCCCUAUAGCGGCUAAUGAACCGGAAGUCUCACCCAUAGGCUUACUUCCGUGUUAAGGAAUAAGGUGGAUUGGAAAUGCAUUUGAAGGAUGUGCCUCCAAUUUCUUAGUGCCACCAGAGAUGUGCACAUAAUAUAUACUAAAUAAAGAUAGUAAUAGCACAGAUAGGCCAGGCCAGAGAGGAGAAAACAGAUGAGUGCUUUAUAAACCCCCUUCCCAGUCCUCAAAAAGAGAAGGAAGGGAAAGAAAGAAAAGAGGGAGAGAAAAAAGCUUAUUAUCUUGAUCAGCUGCUUCUUAGCUGACACAUAGGAACACUUUACUCAAGAUAAGGUCUAAUCUGGCUUACUGAAAAAAUGCACUUGUUUAUUUAUUUAUAUAUUUAGCUAUCUGCUCCUUCAAGGUUACGCUGCUGAGGUGGGUCAGUGAGUUUCUCUUUCAUCUCUGUUUUUCAGUCCUUUACUUGGUUGUUUUAUUUAGUCUUUCAUAUUACCUUUAUUCUAAUGCCAAAGUUCUCACUUUUAUACUUAUAAGUAAUGCCCUGAAGUAGUUGCAUGGCAACUAUUUGCAUGUUGUCCACAAGAAACAAUAGUAAUACACAAUGUUCCUGUCCAAACUUUGCAUAAACUUAAUUCUUAUGGAUUUUUUUUUUUGUAUUAUUAUUUGUCAUUGGAUUAUUUAUAAAGUACUUACAUAUGAUCAUAAUAAAUAAAUGUAAAUUAUAUAUAUAUAUAUAUAUAUAUAUAUAUAUAUAUAUAUAUAUAUAUAUAUAUAAAUCAUUUUAAAAUAUAUUAAAAUAGAAAACAGUUAUUUUAAAUUGUAAUAAAAUUGUAAUAAUAAUUCUUUUUUUUUUUUUUAAUAAAUGCAGCCUUAUUGAGCAUAACAGACUAUUAUAAUAUUAUAUAUUAUUAUUUAAUUUUGUAAACAUUUUAUUCUUUCAGAUUUAUAAUUCAUAUUUUUAAAUAAUAAACAUCUUUUGGAUUCUACAUGGGGUGUAAUUAAAAUAUAAAACAAAUUUUUUACUGCAUUUUUUUGUUUGCUGAGCAUACAAAACUGAUUCAAAAAGAUGGGCAUGUAUACCUAUGAGGAUAACUGUAUAUGCAUGAGGAUGCUUAAGAGAGAUGGAAAUCUAUAAGUACAUUAUAUGAAACCUUUGCUAAAGCUACAACUAAAAGUAAACACAAUUUCAGUUUUGCUCUUUUGACGGCUCCCCCUGAGUGCCUGAGUGGAAACACGACAGUGAUACUCAGUUGAGGACAGAGAAU